RNAcentral lists this ribosomal RNA (305 nucleotides) under uncultured bacterium. RNAcentral describes it as "bacterial SSU rRNA". It matches the Rfam family "Bacterial small subunit ribosomal RNA", at positions 333 to 637 of the family's 1533-position model. The record is from RNAcentral.
UGAUGCCUACGGGGGGCAGCAGUGGGGAAUAUUGCACAAUGGGGGAAACCCUGAUGCAGCGACGCCGCGUGAGUGAAGAAGUAUUUCGGUAUGUAAAGCUCUAUCAGCAGGGAAGAAAUACUGACCUUACGGUCAGCAGACGGUACCUGACUAAGAAGCCCCGGCUAACUACGUGCCAGCAGCCGCGGUAAUACGUAGGGGGCAAGCGUUAUCCGGAUUUACUGGGUGUAAAGGGAGCGUAGACGGCGAGACAAGUCUGGAGUGAAAGGCCGGGGCCCAACCCCGGGACUGCUCUGGAAACUGCC